UAAAGCAAAGCACUGAAAAUGCUUAGACGGGUGAUUUUAUAACCCCAUUGAACACAUAGGUUUGGUCCUGGCCUUUUUACUAAUUACUAAUAAACUUACACAUGCAAGAAUCCUCGCCCCGGUGAAAAUGCCCAUUAGCCAUUCUUAAUGGCAUAGGAGCUGGUAUCAAGCACACUAUAAGUAGCUAACAACACCUUGCUAAGCCACACCCCCACGGGAACACAGCAGUGAUAAAAAUUAAGCAAUAGAUGAAAAUCUGACUAAGUUAUAUUUUUAAGGUCUGGUAAAUAUCGUGCCAGCCACCGCGGUCAUACGAUUAGGCCAAAUUAAUAAAUAUCGGCGUAAAGUGUGUUCAAGAAUUUAACCCACCAAUAAAGUUGAACUUUAACUAAACUGUAAAAAGCCCUAGUUAAUGUAAUAUAACUCACAAAAGUAACUUUAAAACAUCCAAUACACGAUAGCUGAGACCUAAACUGGGAUUAGAUACCCCACUAUACUCAGCCCUAAACAUAAAAAAUUAUUCAAACAAAAUUAUUCGCCAGAGUACUACUAGCAAAAGCUAAAAACUCAAAGGACUUGGCGGUGCCUUAUAUCCUUCUAGAGGAGCCUGUUCCAUAAUCGAUAAACCCCGAUAAACCUUACCAACCCUUGCUAAAACAGCCUAUAUACCGCCAUCUUCAGCAAACCCUAAAAAGGAAUUAUAGUAAGCUUAAAUAUUAACAUAAAAACGUUAGGUCAAGGUGUAGCUUAUGAGUUGGAGAGAAAUGGGCUACAUUUCCCAAAUAGGGAAAUCCAUACGAAAACUAAUAUGAAAUUAUUAGUUAAAGGUGGAUUUAGCAGUAAACUAAGAAUAGAGUGCUUAGUUGAAUAAGGCCAUGAGGCACGCACACACCGCCCGUCACCCUCUUCAAAUAAUUAACACUACUAGGUUUACCUAAAUAUAAUAGUAAACUUUAUAGAAGAGACAAGUCGUAACAAGGUAAGUGUACUGGAAAGUGCACUUGGAUAACU
Molecule: non-coding RNA, 1011 nt
Filed under: Tylonycteris robustula (Greater bamboo bat)
Lineage: Eukaryota; Metazoa; Chordata; Mammalia; Chiroptera; Vespertilionidae
Description: partial contains tRNA-Phe and 12S ribosomal RNA
Rfam family: Bacterial small subunit ribosomal RNA
Source: RNAcentral